AGUGCCCACUUUGGACUAAAACUGGAAUGAUGCAGAGGAGACUGGCCAUGGCCCCUGUUGCAAGGAUGACCCACAAAUUUGUGAAACAUUCCAUAAUUUA
Molecule: small nuclear RNA, 100 nt
Filed under: Catagonus wagneri (Chacoan peccary)
Lineage: Eukaryota; Metazoa; Chordata; Mammalia; Artiodactyla; Tayassuidae
Source: RNAcentral